RNAcentral lists this long non-coding RNA (1191 nucleotides) under Brassica napus (rape). RNAcentral describes it as "long non-coding RNA (BNAP_LNC011606)". Lineage: Eukaryota; Viridiplantae; Streptophyta; Magnoliopsida; Brassicales; Brassicaceae. The record is from RNAcentral.
UCCCAACAGAGUUUUCAUUGAUACUUGAUAAAAUACAAGGGUAGAAUACUUAUGCCGGCGGAAAACAUGACCUUCCCCGGAAACUAAACCCAUAAGAAGGGAACGACAGUCUAAGAAACAGACCACUAAAAUCCAACGGAAACAUUAAGCUACAAACUGGAAUCCUUCGACUAAACCAUGACCUAACAAGACAUAAAAGUAUCAGACUUAGUUAUCUUAUGAUCAGCCGGUAGACUUACCAAACUCAAGGCAAGAGAGCAGAAACUAUAGAAAUACUUCAUGAAGAGCAGGAACCAUCAUCUGAACCUUACCGUUCACGAUGACCACAAACCACCUCUAAGACGAAACCAAGACGAAAACCAAGAAGAACCAACACCCGGGAGAACUCACAACUCAACCACACCUUCAUCUGGACGCCUUAAAAACUCAACCUCAUUCUAAAGCUUCACCACAAGAAGCCACCGAGGAAAACCAGAGACCAAAGACAACCAGGAGACACACUUAUUCAAAGGGCAGGAGGAGGACUCUUCUGCUACUGGGGAAUGGAAUGGUUAACCUGAGACCACACUUUUACUCAACAACCCUUCAGCUGCUCUUCAUAGGCCAAUACCGUUCUGCUACACCGUUGCUAGAACAAAAACAAACUAAGCCAAUCUCUGAACUCUAUGACAGAUUAGUCGAUAUCAAACGCAGAAGACUAGCUAAGAACCCGCAAACAAAACGAAACUUUAACAACGAGCAACUACAAUGGAGGAAGAGAAUCUGAAACCCAUUAAAGGAUAGAAACCACAGACCAGAAGAAGCAGAGGCUACAAACUCUUAAAGCACACCAUCCGGCAGCAAGACGAGUAGAUCUAGGAAUCAAAGGAAAAGCAAACUCUGAUGCCGGCUAGAAACGACCAGCACACAUCUUCAUCAUCUAGAAAAGAACCGCCUUUAGCCAUUAGACUCUGAAGCCGAACUUCACGCGCCACCACGCACCUCCAGUCUGAUACCUUCACUCCCAUCAACCAGCUCAGAUCCUUACCACACCUUUAGAGAACAACAAGAGUACAUCACAAUAGAACAGAGAAAUUCGACUCCGGUGCUGUGAGAGCCACCGGAGUCGACCACCACAAAACCUAGAUCUACUUUUUUUCAGAGAGAAUACGGGAGUCCCUUUUCUCUUCCUUUACUCAAAUUAGAACUUGA